This 253-nucleotide ribosomal RNA is filed under the name uncultured bacterium. RNAcentral describes it as "partial 16S ribosomal RNA". It matches the Rfam family "Bacterial small subunit ribosomal RNA", at positions 524 to 776 of the family's 1533-position model. The record is from RNAcentral.
UACGGAGGGCGCAAGCGUUGUUCGGAAUCAUUGGGCGUAAAGCGCGUGUAGGCGGCUUGGCAAGUCGGAUGUGAAAUCCCGGGGCUCAACCCCGGAACUGCAUUCGAAACUGCCUCGCUAGAGUCCCGGAGAGGAGGGCGGAAUUCCCGGUGUAGAGGUGAAAUGCGUAGAGAUCGGGAGGAACACCAGUGGCGAAGGCGGCCACCUGGACGGUGACUGACGCUGAGACGCGAAAGCGUGGGUAGCAAACAGG